ACGCUCGACACCUACGGGAGGAGCAGUGAGGAAUAUUGGUCAAUGGACGCAAGUCUGAACCAGCCAUGCCGCGUGCAGGAUGACGGCUCUAUGAGUUGUAAACUGCUUUUGUACGAGGGUAAACGCAGAUACGUGUAUCUGUCUGAAAGUAUCGUACGAAUAAGGAUCGGCUAACUCCGUGCCACNGCGCGGUAGUACUGAGCGGGCGGUCGGUCGACGGACGC
RNAcentral lists this ribosomal RNA (224 nucleotides) under uncultured bacterium. RNAcentral describes it as "partial 16S ribosomal RNA". It matches the Rfam family "Bacterial small subunit ribosomal RNA", at positions 328 to 542 of the family's 1533-position model. The record is from RNAcentral.